CUGGCUUUUGCACGCACGCGUGCGCCGACGAAGCUGUGCAGCGUACGCUCACCGCCCGCCAGCGCGCAGAAAAAAAACGAAGAGCGAAGGGGAAGCGUUCCGCAGGCACUCACAAGGGCACCGAGCUACUGCGGCCACCGCACCUUCCCGCGCGAAGCGAGUCAUGAGCGAGCCGAGGCAGCCAGAGGCGGCCCCUGCAAUGCCAGUGGCGUCUGAGCACACCACCACCUGUGGUGUCGCGACGUCGUUGCUGGAGAAACCGGCGCUGGUGGCGAUACCCGCCCCGGAACCUACCGCUCGCCCGCCCAUCACGACAGAGAAGGGCGUCUGCCCAGUGAAGGCGGAGUACCUGCGUCCAGCCCCGGCGCGCAUCAGCCUCGAUGCGGAGGGCCGUACGCGCGGCAUGAACAAGGGCGCCGCGCGAGAGCACUCAGAGUUUGUGCAGGGCACGCAGCGCCCCGCGUGGGAGGGAGAACAAAAUUUCUUUCUUGGGCCGACGCUGCAGCGGAUCAAGAGGGCCGUUCGUGAAGCGAAGCAGCGGCAGCCCAAGCAGCAGCAGCAGGGGCGAGAGCAGCAACAGAGCCCCGACAGCAAGGAAGGCGCUGCCUCCGCUGACGCCAUCACGACGGAGACAUCCGAGAAGACAACAGCAGCGACAGCAGCCGAGGCGAGUGAGCCCCUCCCGGUAAUUGGGCAGAAGCGUGAGCGCAGUGCCUCGGCCGAGGAGGCACCCAUAACAGAAGCACCGACACCUGACGCGACCACGAAAUUGAGCAGCGAUGAGCCGACGGCUCGCCCCACACAGACGGAGGAGAGCCUUCGCGAGGUGAUUGCGCGCCAGUCAAGCUUGCGCGGUCUAUUCUCCGAGAAGCUGGUACUGGCGCCACUGACCACGGUCGGCAAUCUGCCCUUCCGUCGCAUCUGCAAGUCGUUCGGUGCGGACGUCACGCUGAGCGAGAUGGCUGUGGUCUUCAACCUGAAUCGGCUGCAGAAGAGCGAGUGGUCGCUGCUGCGCCGGCACGAGAGUGAGGACAUCUUUGGCAUCCAGCUGGCCGUCUCUCGCCCGCAGGAGGCGGCGACCUUUGCGCAGGCUCUGGAGGCGUCCGGCUUCUCAUACGACUUCCUCGACAUCAAUUGCGGCUGCCCGGUGGAGAAGAUUGUGAAGUCCGGCUGCGGCUGCGGGCUUUGGAAGCGCACAGGGCGGCUGCGCGAUGUCGUGGAGAGCCUGGCGAUUCACCAGAGCCGCCCUGUGGCAAUUAAGUGUCGCAUUGGCCUCGACGAGGACACACCGACGCUGCAUCAGCAAAUCCACCGGUACUCGACGUGGGGGGCCGCAGCGGUGACGGUACAUGGCCGCUCGCGCAAGCAGCGCUACACCAAGUUCGCCAACUGGGACUACGUGGACCAGUGCGCGCAGCUCACCUCGCUGCCUGUGAUUGGCAACGGCGACAUCAUGUCCCUGGAGGACGUACUCGAACACCGGGAGCGGCAGCCGCACAUUACCUCACACAUGAUCGGCCGCGGCGCCCUCAUCAAGCCGUGGCUGUUUGAAGAGAUCAAGAGCGGCCAGGUGAAGGACAUCAGCAGCUCCGAGCGGCUGGACAUGUUGAAGGAAUUCUGCGCAUGCGGAAUGGCCCACUGGGGGGCGGAUGAGCGCGGUGUCAUGACAACACGGCGCUUCCUGUGCGAAUGGCUGUCGUUUCUUCAUCGCUAUGUACCAGUUGGGCUGCUGGAGCGGCUGCCCCAGCGCAUCAACGAGCGUCCGCCGUUCUACGAAGGCCGCGAUGAGUUGGAGACGCUCAUGUCCAGUGAUAGCGUUAAGGACUGGAUGCGCAUAAGUGAGCUGCUGCUUGGGCCUGUCGAGAAGCAGUUCCGCUUCACUCCGAAGCACAAGAGCAACAGCUACACAAAUGCGACGGAAUUGGACGGCAGCAUUGAUGUAGAAGGCUAAAGUUAAUCGCGCGUGUCGCCCUCCCCGCCAUCAGUGUGCUGUUUGCCUGCUCACAAAACUGUGGCGUUGCGUGGCGCUAUGACCGUGGCAACCCCCUAAC
This 2051-nucleotide unclassified non-coding RNA is filed under the name Leishmania donovani. RNAcentral's name for it is "gene:LdHU3.17.0680(CDS-product:Dihydrouridine_syn thase_(Dus)_putative)". Lineage: Eukaryota; Euglenozoa; Kinetoplastea; Trypanosomatida; Trypanosomatidae. The record is from RNAcentral.